RNAcentral lists this ribosomal RNA (253 nucleotides) under uncultured bacterium. Its description in RNAcentral is "partial 16S ribosomal RNA". It matches the Rfam family "Bacterial small subunit ribosomal RNA", at positions 524 to 776 of the family's 1533-position model. The record is from RNAcentral.
UACGAAGGGGGCUAGCGUUGCUCGGAAUCACUGGGCGUAAAGGGUGCGUAGGCGGGUUUUUAAGUCAGGGGUGAAAUCCUGGAGCUCAACUCCAGAACUGCCUUUGAUACUGAAGAUCUUGAGCCCGGGAGAGGUGAGUGGAACUGCGAGUGUAGAGGUGAAAUUCGUAGAUAUUCGCAAGAACACCAGUGGCGAAGGCGGCUCACUGGCCCGGUACUGACGCUGAGGCACGAAAGCGUGGGGAGCAAACAGG